GAGCUCAGAGGGUUGUGGAGAACGGUGCAGAGUCUAGUUGGAGGCCUGUGGCUAGGGGGGGCCCCCCGGGGGCAGUCCUUGGUCCCGUCCUGUUCAAUUUAUUCAUCAAUGACCUGGA
Molecule: non-coding RNA, 118 nt
Organism: Tinamus guttatus (white-throated tinamou)
Lineage: Eukaryota; Metazoa; Chordata; Aves; Tinamiformes; Tinamidae
Source: RefSeq, a predicted model, not a curated record